Long non-coding RNA from Anguilla rostrata (American eel), 592 nucleotides. RefSeq lists it as uncharacterized. The record is from RefSeq and is a predicted model, not a curated record. The transcript has 2 exons. NCBI's taxonomy places the organism in Eukaryota, Metazoa, Chordata, Actinopteri, Anguilliformes, Anguillidae.
UGGCGCCCUACGAGUUAAAAUAGCUAAAAUCUCCCAUUUGGUUUUAAAGACACACAUAUAUAUAAUUGAGCGCAUUUACAACAUAUUAAGGCCUACAUGUCUUAACAGGCAGGGUUCCCUUUAAACUUGAAGGACGUUUUAAAAUGUGGACGUUACGUUACACCCGCUGAGUACCAGAUGGAGACAUUUACCAAUUAGGACCGCAGCUUGGGCCAGUGACGUAUACAUUAGUUCAUCUGCUUGCCGAACUGAAGCAUGAUCAGCGUCGGAGCUGAAUGUGGACUUGCUUGACACAAACUAGCAGCUAGAAUGUAAAAAAACGCAUUGGCCUACCAAAAUGUACAGGCAAGACAACCACAGCGUGCAUAGUCGCAUACAAGCAAAGGAUCCCUUCAUCACCAUAAUGGACACACCUGAAGCAAUUGCACCUGGUUUGUUCAGAGGAUCUCCCGAAUUUAUGAGGAUUGCUGGCCUGAAAGAUGAGAGAAUUUCGCUGAAAAGCUACAGUUGCGUUCAGGUGUAGUGUCUCUGCUCUGCACCAGAUUGAAUCGGACAGAAUGUCAGUGGAUAGUAAAGGUAUGAACACUUUUAA